UGCCAGCCGCCGCGGUAAUACGGAGGGGGCUAGCGUUGUUCGGAAUUACUGGGCGUAAAGCGCUCGUAGGCGGAUUGGUCAGUCAGAGGUGAAAGCCCAGGGCUCAACCUUGGAAUUGCCUUUGAUACUGCCAGUCUUGAGUUCGGGAGAGGUGAGCGGAAUUCCGAGUGUAGAGGUGAAAUUCGUAGAUAUUCGGAGGAAUACCGGUUACGAAGGUUGACAACUGGACAGGCACUGACGCUGAGGCACGAAAGCGUGGGGAGCAAACAGGAUUAGAUA
Molecule: ribosomal RNA, 279 nt
Filed under: uncultured bacterium
Lineage: Bacteria
Description: partial 16S ribosomal RNA
Rfam family: Bacterial small subunit ribosomal RNA
Source: RNAcentral